AUUGAACGCUGGCGGAAUGCUUUACACAUGCAAGUCGAACGGCAGCACGGGUGCUUGCACCUGGUGGCGAGUGGCGAACGGGUGAGUAACAUAUAGGAACGUGCCCAGUAAUGGGGGAUAACUAACCGAAAGGUUAGCUAAUACCGCAUACGCCCUGAGGGGGAAAGCGUGGGCUCGAAAGACCUCGCGCUAUUGGAGCGGCCGGUAUCUGAUUAGCUAGUUGGUAGGGUAAAGGCCUACCAAGGCGACGAUCAGUAGCUGGUCUGAGAGGAUGAUCAGCCACACUGGGACUGAGACACGGCCCAGACUCCUACGGGAGGCAGCAGUGGGGAAUUUUGGACAAUGGGCGAAAGCCUGAUCCAGCCAUUCCGCGUGAGUGAAGAAGGCCUUCGGGUUGUAAAGCUCUUACGGCAGGAACGAAACGCUCUAGAUUAAUACUCUGGGGUAAUGACGGUACCUGAAGAAGAAGCACCGGCUAACUACGUGCCAGCCGCCGCCGUAA
RNAcentral lists this ribosomal RNA (502 nucleotides) under uncultured bacterium. Its description in RNAcentral is "partial 16S ribosomal RNA". It matches the Rfam family "Bacterial small subunit ribosomal RNA", at positions 30 to 523 of the family's 1533-position model. The record is from RNAcentral.